UCCUGAGAAUGAUGGCCAGAAGGGAGGACGAACAGCUGCUACAAUAGAGGAACCACCGCUUGGAAAGAAUCACCCGCUAAGGUGGGACAGCGCCGAUUGUUUUGAGUUGUGAGGGCGCGUCUGGUGUCGGAUUGAGGAGCGGUUUUCACCACUAGAUUCUUCUCUUCCAGGGCUUCAAAAUGAUAUGUAGAUCGCCUUCUAACUCCUUGUAUUUUGAGAGAUAUUAUCGUUUGAAGUUGAGCUUCGUGCUGAUAACGUGUUGAGAGAAAAACUAGGAUCUUAUUAUUUUCCAUAAGCAAUAUAUAUAUACAUUACAUAACUAAUGUAUCAGAAACCCUAAUGGGCUAUAUGAGACAUUAACCUGAUGGUUAAUAGGCCGGUUACUAGAAGUCCAUUUGUUUAUAACAACAUGAACAAUAAUUCGUUUUCUAUUAAAAAUGAAUAGAAAAUAAAAAUGAGCAAUAAAUAACAGAACAUAAACAAUAAUUCAUUUUCUAUCGUAAGAAAACAAAAAAAACAGAGAACAAUAAAAUACAAUAAAAUAGAAAUGAAACUCAUACAAAAGAAUUAAUAAUAAUAGAAAAAAAAAUCUUUACGUAGUGUUAAGGAAAUCUUCGUGUACGUAGUAUACUUUGAAUGGAACAACAAUUAAACAAACAAAACGAUCUGGAGAACUGAGAAUCUGAAAAUAAUCAGAGGGAUCAAAACAGAGGAAUCUACGAUCUAGAACUUGCCUUAUACACCAGAGAAACGAAGACAAUUAAAACAAGGAAAUCGACCUGGAGAACUGAGAGCUUGAGAAACACACCUUCCGUGAAAUUCGUGAUCAGAUGUAGGAGAAGAAGAAACCUGCAGAAGGAGAAGAGGAAGCAAACGCAGACUUAGAACUGAUCACUACUGAAUCAUAAGCGAGCCAUGAGCGAGCCAGUCUAUAUAUAAGCUCAAACCGGUUUUGCUAGUGUCAUGGUUCCGGUUCAAUUG
Molecule: long non-coding RNA, 981 nt
Filed under: Eutrema salsugineum
Lineage: Eukaryota; Viridiplantae; Streptophyta; Magnoliopsida; Brassicales; Brassicaceae
Description: long non-coding RNA (ESAL_LNC000148)
Source: RNAcentral